Acinonyx jubatus (cheetah) is the source of this 4313-nucleotide long non-coding RNA. RefSeq lists it as uncharacterized. The transcript has 4 exons. The record is from RefSeq and is a predicted model, not a curated record. NCBI's taxonomy places the organism in Eukaryota, Metazoa, Chordata, Mammalia, Carnivora, Felidae.
UGGGGCACCUGGGUGGCUCAGUAGGGUGAGCGUCCAACUUCAGCUCAGGUCGUGAUCUCGCUGUUUGUGAGUUCGAGCCCCGCGUCGGGCUCUGUGCUGACAGUUCAGAGCCUGGAGCCUGCUUCUGAUUCUGUGUCUCCUUCUCUCUCUGUUCCUCCCCAGUCAUACUCUGUCUCUCUUUCUCUCUCAAAAAUAAAUAAACAUUAAAAACAUUAAAAUAAAUAACACUUUGUUUUGGAUUUUGAAACUCCCAUUUCUUGCUUAUUAAAAUCAGGCUACUUAAUAUCACUGGCUAAGAGUUUUCAACUGGUGGAGUCACACAGGGAAAGUGAUGUUACUGUUAUCUUUCUGUUCAGACUGUAGCAGGGAACAACCAUGAGGAUCCAGGCGUGCAGAGAAAGAAGAUCUCAAAGACAGGAGGCUCACAUAACUGAGUUAACACCUCAGCUGUUACUUCCUGUGGCAGCCUGACUCCGAUGUCCCCCAGUGAUCCCCCUCCUAGUAUGGUCCCUCCCCCUGAGCGUGGGCUGGCCUGGCAACUUCCUUCUAGCCAACAGAAUAUAGCAAAGGUGACAGGAUGGCACUUCUGAGAUUAGGUUAGAAGAGAUGAUGGGCUCUGCCUUGCCAGCAGACUCCAUUGCUCUCUCAGCUCACACACGGAUGAAGCAAGCGGCCGUCUCUCCCAGCUGUCACCACAGAAGGACAUUCUGUCAGUCAGGGGUUGGUUCAUCACCCAGACUGAAAUCUGGGCCCCCACAGCAAGCUGCAGAGAGUGGCCUCCGGUUCAACAGUUGGCAAGGAUGUGAGGCCCUCAGACCAACAGCUCAAAGGAACUGAAUUCUGUCAACAACCACUGAGAACCUUGGAAGCGGAUCCUUGCCCCGUUGAGCUUUCGGAUGAAACCCCUGCCCUGGCUGACACUCUGCCGGCAGCCCGUGACAGACUCAGAAGCAGAGCGCCCGGCUAAGCUACCCCCAGGCUCCUGAAGCACGGGGGCCGUGAAACAAUCCAUGUGCACUGUUUUAAGGUGCUGAGUUUGUAGCAAUUUGUUACGCGGCAAUAGAAUGUUAAGACACUUCCCAUCUGGGUGGAUUUGGCAGGUUAUUCCCCGCCUGCCCUUGAAACCUCCAUUUUCUCAUCUGUCAACGUGGCCUGGAUAAUAAUAGAAAUGAUGAUGUUAAUGGCUAUCUUUGGGGAUUUACGUGAGAAACUGCAAAAACACACACACACACACACACACAGAAGUGUGCAAUUGUUGACAUCUGAGUGAGCAAGCGGUCUGGGCUCUGCCUAGGCUGGGUCUUGAAGACAGUGGGGGAGAGCAGUGGGCAGAGGUACUCAGUGGGAAGAGCAGGAAGGGCUUCCCUGAAUCAGCUACGAAGCUUGGAGUUUGGGGAGCUAAAGAUGGGAUGUCGAGUGAAGGCAAAGCUGGGAACUCCAGAAACCACCAAAAGAGUUCAGCCAGACAGGGCUGUAGGUUCAAAGGAAAAGCAGGAAGCAGUGCUAACAAUAAGAUGGAGGGAGACUUUUAUAAGGUGCCAAUGAUGCCAAUAGGUGGGAAGGAUUGAUUAAGACACUACGAGUGUUUAAAUACAUAGCAGAAGUCAAUUCGUGCCAAAGGCACUGGAAUCCAGGGCUUGGGUACCCACUAUGGUUGGCUCUGGGUACCCACCCUCUCUUUUUGAGGGAACUUCUCUCCACACCACCCACAAACCCUAGGGGACUCCUCAUCAAAUGCGAUUCCCAACCCCCACAUCAGACUCCUCUAACAUCGCCACUGGGAUGUCUAAGGGGCAUCUGAGAUUUCAGGUGCCCAGAUCCGAACUUCUGAUUUCACACUCUCCCUCUAAGCUCUGCUGUGGCUGCAGCCUUCACAUCUCAGUGUUGCCCUGACAGCUCGAUAUGGAACAGGGAUGACCUUACAGGGCAUACUGUUGAAGAUGAGAAACGAUAGUUCUUUGGAGAGGAGUUAAGAUGGCGGAGGAGCAUGGAGACCCUGAGUUUGUCUCAUCCCUGAAACGCAGCUAGAUCAGCCCCAAACCAUGUUUGAACACCUAGGAAAUCGAUCUGGGGAUUACCACAACAAUCUGCAUAACUUGAGCCACGGAACUUGGCGGGAAUGCGGUGCAGAGAGGUGAACUGGGACAGAAAAGAUGCAAAAGCAUAGAUUUAAGUAAAAAGAGUGAAGCGUGAACAUCUUCCUUCCUCCCUCCUGCUGUCGUCACCCCUCUCCCGCCACAUUAUGUUCCAAUUGUUGGUAUCAGAAACUAUAGGGCCACCUGCAGUCACCCGCCUGGGACUUACUACCUCUCUGCUGAGAAACAGAUCAUCUCCAUUCCUUUUUGAAAAAAAAGCAUACUCCAAGCAAUACCAUAAUGAACACCCAUAUCCAUAUGCACAAUUAUUUCUUCAGGAUAGGUUCCUAGCAGCGGGACUGUGAAGUCAAAGGACUUGCACAGAAAACAUAUGGUAAGAGACUGACAAAUGAUCCUUUAAGGUGGUUGAACCAAUUCACUUUCCCACCAACAGGGGCAUGGCCUCCGUGCCAAUGCUGGACAUUAUCGAUCUUUCUAAGAAUUUCCAAGAAUGAGGUCCCGUCUUAAUUUACAGGUUCCCGACAACCAGGGCUUGAAUACGUUUUCAUGUAUUUAUUGGCCAUUUGCAUUUGUUCCUCAGUGGGUCGCCUCUCUGUUUUCUUGGUUUGUUUUUCUAUUGGGUUAUUUAUCCCAAAUUACCAACGGAAAAUCUGAGGACUGGGGAAAUUAACUGGCUUCAAGUCCCAGCACGAGUAAGUGGCCGGGCUGGACUGGAGGGUGAUUGUAUUUCUCAAAAGCGCCCAUUCUCAACCACAAGGCCGGUUACUCUGCAUCCCAGGUACCGUCCAGGUGAACCGAUGAAUGAAAACGUGAAGGCUUCAUAAGGACACGGAUAGCGCUCACUUGCAGAGGUGUGGCCCUUUCUGCUUUUACCUGAAACAGCCCGGCCGUCUACCGCAGUUCCCUCCAGGACGGCCACCUGGCUGACCACCGUGACUCUUGCCCUGCGCCGGCCCUGGCUGCCCGUUGGGCCGCAUUUAGCAAUCACAUUGCCCCUGAAGACACAGGCAGCCAGAACUAAAUAACAACCUAUGGCUUAUGGCCAUUUCCUUAGUUAAGCCAACGGGAGCUAGACCAUCCCUGGCUUUCGGUGUGAUUCAUCCUCCAAAACCCAAAUCCAAGACUGCUCUGGAUCUGGCGGGGCUCAGCUGUCAACGCAGAGAGGGAACGCAUAACCAGCUGCCAUCAACUCAUCUGACAUCGUGCCAGGGCCACCCUACCAUUGUUUGUGGCAGAACAACGCCUUUCUGCGGCAGAGGAGGUUUGCAGCCUUGCCCUUUGGGAAGGGCAGCCGACUUCUCAGCAGGCCGGAGAGCGCCUGAGCGCCAGAGGAAUGCCUUCUCUAAAAAUAGAAGUCCUUUGCAGGGCUUCCCGACUAGCAGUCUUAGCGGCAUCCACACCACGUCUUUGCGUUCUGCGCAGGACCAGCUGCAGGCGCGGUGGGGAAAGAUAAUCUGGGCAGAGGGGCCGCUGCUGGGCAGAGAACCCCGUAGCCUGGGGCCGUCACCAACCAGCACUGGGGCGGACCCCUCCUGAAGGCGGCUGCGGUUAGUGUUACGGGGAAACCAGGCAGCUUGGAGGUUUUGUUUGACUGGCAGAAGGGGCUCCAGAAAGCUCCCUCAACCCAUCCUGCCAUGUGCGGACACAUGAACCGAGAGGAAGAUCCUCAUUAGACACUGAAUCUGCUGGUGCCUUGAUCUUGGACGUCCAGAACUAUUUUUUCUUCUGAUUGAUUUGGAGUUUCAUACCAUGGCGGCUGGAAAAGAGGCACCAAAAGAUUCCAUCUUCUUGAAGCUGCACGUCGUUUGACAAACGGGAAAGCGCUGCUCCCAGGGUGCCGCCCACUCUCCCUGCAGCCAGGAGCCCACAAGCCCACGCCGGCGUGCCAAGACCACAAGGUCCCAAUCACGGGGGAUCUGCAUGAGGCCACCCGAGACCUCAGAACCCAGGAAGGCCGGGUUGGGACGCCAACAUUUCUUACGGGCUAUGACCUGGCCGGCUCUUUUGUCCCCUGCAUUUGCAGAGGAAACAACGGUGGAGGUCAUCCAAACAAGAACACGAGCUCCAAAUCAAACUUGACUUUGUCUUUGCAACGCGUCCUUCGAUUUCCAGGCAGUCUGCACAAAGCCGUGCUAAGACAAGCAGCAUUGCUGGGGGCAUUGACGGGGUGCACGCUGCUGUCUUGGCACAGAGGCGGAAGGCAAGGGCUGGAGGGCG